UAAUCAGGUCCUUAUUUGUAGAACAAUUUGUAGUGGAUAAAGGGGUUGGCAACUUUAAUCUUGGCUGUGCUUUAAAGUUCAACUGCUUUGUUUCCCUCUGAAAUGGAUUAGAGGUGCUCAUACGGGCAGCUACCAUGCCAGAACCAGGAGACUAGCUUUGUGGCUUUAACUGCUCCAGCUUUUUUUGUAAGCACAUCUGACUGUAUGAAGAUGCAAAAGACAUAAAUAAGAAUCCACUACAAUUGGCAAGAAAACAAGCAGAAUGUACUGAAAGUACCAUACCUGUACAAGGAGAGAGUUUGUCUGAGUUUAAAAGAAAGAAAGAAAGAAAACAGAACUGGAAGGGGAUCGAUGCCAUUUCACAAGAUAGGAUCAAACUAUUGCUGCAGAAAGCUGGAAGAAGCUUGCAGAUCGGCUGAAUCUUGAGUAAGUUGGAAUGCAUAGAUAAAAAGUAGUGUUGCCCAUGGUCUUAGAAGUUAGUGAGGCUGCAGUUCUCUUGAGUUCUCAGCUUGAAGCCUUUCACUAAAACAUUUAGAAAGCAACAUAAAACAAGUAAACAAAAGAAAUUGAUUUUUUUUUCUGCACACAAAUGCUGGGUUUAAAGUAAGUCUAACUAUAACUUCUGAGUAUAUUGCCUAUAAUUUAGCCCACCAUCUUGAUCUUUUGUCUUCGUCUAUGAUGUACAUCAUGUACAGUCAUUUUCAAGAGGAUAGUUUUAUGUUUACAAUUUUUUUUUAGCUCUAACAUACAUUGCUUUUUAUCCAGCUUUAUACUUAACUCACCUAGACAUUCAUAUAGAUGUGAAAAUGCGCUAAUUUUUAAGAUACUUCAUCUAGCUUCAUGUUGUGAUAAUUCAUACUGAAAUAUCAAUGCUACUAAUAGGUAGGAGACUUCCAACUGAAUUCUUUAUGAACUUUUCCUGACCUACUAUGUAGUGUGUUAGCUUUUCACUCUGGCUGACAUUAUGCAUGGAUGGAUUAGAUAACAUCACCACACAUUGUGAUGUUAUCCUUGCUUUCUAGUAGAGUGGCAACAGAAUUGUUCAUAUUACUUUUUGACUUGCAAAUUUUGUAUGUGUGUUUUUGUGCCUCUCACAUAGAAAAGCGUUGAUUAACGCUGCAGCAUUUUGUUUCUUUCAAAAAUAUCUCGCUAGAUGAAGUAGCCAGUUCCAAGCACUGAGGAAUAAAUUAGGAAUGUCCCUCA
Molecule: long non-coding RNA, 1203 nt
Filed under: Anser brachyrhynchus (Pink-footed goose)
Lineage: Eukaryota; Metazoa; Chordata; Aves; Anseriformes; Anatidae
Description: lncRNA (ENSABRG00000010498.1)
Source: RNAcentral